GAUGAACGCUGGCGGCGUGCCUAAUACAUGCAAGUCGAGCGAACGGACGAGAAGCUUGCUUUUCUGAUGUUAGCGGCGGACGGGUGAGUAACACGUGGAUAACCUACCUAUAAGACUGGGAUAACUUCGGGAAACCGGAGCUAAUACCGGAUAAUAUUUUGAACCGCAUGGUUCAAAAGUGAAAGACGGUCUUGCUGUCACUUAUAGAUGGAUCCGCGCUGCAUUAGCUAGUUGGUAAGGUAACGGCUUGCCAAGGCAACGAUGCAUAGCCGACCUGAGAGGGUGAUCGGCCACACUGGAACUGAGACACGGUCCAGAAUCCUACGGGAGGCACCAGUAGGGAAUCUUCCGCAAUGGGCGAAAGCCUGACGGAGCAACGCCGCGUGAGUGAUGAAGGUCUUCGGAUCGUAAAACUCUGUUAUUAGGGAAGAACAUAUGUGUAAGUAACUGUGCACAUCUUGACGGUACCUAAUCAGAAAGCAACGGCUAACUACAUG
This 497-nucleotide ribosomal RNA is filed under the name uncultured bacterium. RNAcentral describes it as "partial 16S ribosomal RNA". It matches the Rfam family "Bacterial small subunit ribosomal RNA", at positions 28 to 507 of the family's 1533-position model. The record is from RNAcentral.